This 482-nucleotide ribosomal RNA is filed under the name uncultured bacterium. Its description in RNAcentral is "partial 16S ribosomal RNA". It matches the Rfam family "Bacterial small subunit ribosomal RNA", at positions 30 to 507 of the family's 1533-position model. The record is from RNAcentral.
AUUGAACGCUGGCGGCAUGCCUUACACAUGCAAGUCGAACGGUAACAGGUCUUCGGUUGCUGACGAGUGGCGGACGGGUGCGUAAUACAUCGGAACGUGCCCGAUCGUGGGGGGUAACGAGGCGAAAGCUUUGCUAAUACCUCAUACGAUCUACGGAUGAAAGCGGGGUAUCUUCGGACCUCGCGCGGACGGAGCGGCCGAUGGCAGAUUAGGUAGUUGGUGGGAUAAAAGCUUACCAAGCCGACGAUCUGUAGCUGGUCUGAGAGGAUGAUCAGCCACACUGGGACUGAGACACGGCCCAGACUCCUACGGGAGGCAGCAGUGGGGAAUUUUGGACAAUGGGCGAAAGCCUGAUCCAGCCAUGCCGCGUGCAGGAUGAAGGCCUUCGGGUUGUAAACUGCUUUUGUACGGAACGAAAAGCCUCUUUCUAAUAAAGAGGGGUCAUGACGGUACCGUAAGAAUAAGCACCGGCUAACUACGUG